AGGGUGGUAAACGACUGCGGGCUUGGUGUUGGGGGUCCGUUAGUGGGCGGCCCAGUGCCGGAGAGAAGUUGUUAAGCCUGCUGCUUGGGGAGUAUGUCCGCAAGGAUGAAACUUAAAAGGAAUUGGCGGGGGGAGGCACCACAACGGGUGGAGCUUGCGGUUUAAUUGGAUUCAACGCCGGAAAUCUUACCGGAUAAGACAGCGGAAUGAUUGCCGGGCUGAAGACUCUGCAUGACUAGCUGAGAGGAGGUGCAUGGCGUAGACGUCU
Molecule: ribosomal RNA, 268 nt
Filed under: uncultured archaeon
Lineage: Archaea
Description: partial 16S ribosomal RNA
Rfam family: Archaeal small subunit ribosomal RNA
Source: RNAcentral